Molecule: ribosomal RNA, 468 nt
Filed under: uncultured bacterium
Lineage: Bacteria
Description: partial 16S ribosomal RNA
Rfam family: Bacterial small subunit ribosomal RNA
Source: RNAcentral
GACGAACGCUGGCGGCGUGCUUAACACAUGCAAGUCGAACGGAAAGGCCCUGCUUCUGUGGGGUGCUCGAGUGGCGAACGGGUGAGUAACACGUGAGUAACCUGCCCUUGACUUUGGGAUAACUUCAGGAAACUGGGGCUAAUACCGGAUAGGAGCUCCUGCUGCAUGGUGGGGGUUGGAAAGUUUCGGCGGUUGGGGAUGGACUCGCGGCUUAUCAGCUUGUUGGUGGGGUAGUGGCUUACCAAGGCUUUGACGGGUAGCCGGCCUGAGAGGGUGACCGGCCACAUUGGGACUGAGAUACGGCCCAGACUCCUACGGGAGGCAGCAGUGGGGAAUAUUGCACAAUGGGCGGAAGCCUGAUGCAGCAACGCCGCGUGCGGGAUGACGGCCUUCGGGUUGUAAACCGCUUUCGCCUGUGACGAAGCGUGGGUGACGGUAAUGGGUAAAGAAGCACCGGCUAACUACGUG